This 710-nucleotide ribosomal RNA is filed under the name Bacillus aerius. RNAcentral's name for it is "bacterial SSU rRNA". It matches the Rfam family "Bacterial small subunit ribosomal RNA", at positions 331 to 1033 of the family's 1533-position model. The record is from RNAcentral. Lineage: Bacteria; Bacillati; Bacillota; Bacilli; Caryophanales; Bacillaceae.
CCAGACUCCUACGGGAGGCAGCAGUAGGGAAUCUUCCGCAAUGGACGAAAGUCUGACGGAGCAACGCCGCGUGAGUGAUGAAGGUUUUCGGAUCGUAAAGCUCUGUUGUUAGGGAAGAACAAGUGCAAGAGUAACUGCUUGCACCUUGACGGUACCUAACCAGAAAGCCACGGCUAACUACGUGCCAGCAGCCGCGGUAAUACGUAGGUGGCAGCGUUGUCCGGAAUUAUUGGGCGUAAAGGGCUCGCAGGCGGUUUCUUAAGUCUGAUGUGAAAGCCCCCGGCUCAACCGGGGAGGGUCAUUGGAAACUGGGAAACUUGAGUGCAGAAGAGGAGAGUGGAAUUCCACGUGUAGCGGUGAAAUGCGUAGAGAUGUGGAGGAACACCAGUGGCGAAGGCGACUCUCUGGUCUGUAACUGACGCUGAGGAGCGAAAGCGUGGGGAGCGAACAGGAUUAGAUACCCUGGUAGUCCACGCCGUAAACGAUGAGUGCUAAGUGUUAGGGGGUUUCCGCCCCUUAGUGCUGCAGCUAACGCAUUAAGCACUCCGCCUGGGGAGUACGGUCGCAAGACUGAAACUCAAAGGAAUUGACGGGGGCCCGCACAAGCGGUGGAGCAUGUGGUUUAAUUCGAAGCAACGCGAAGAACCUUACCAGGUCUUGACAUCCUCUGACAACCCUAGAGAUAGGGCUUUCCCUUCGGGGACAGAGUG